RNAcentral lists this ribosomal RNA (292 nucleotides) under uncultured bacterium. Its description in RNAcentral is "partial 16S ribosomal RNA". It matches the Rfam family "Bacterial small subunit ribosomal RNA", at positions 505 to 796 of the family's 1533-position model. The record is from RNAcentral.
GUGCCAGCCGCCGCGGUAAUACGGAGGGGGCUAGCGUUGUUCGGAAUUAUUGGGCGUAAAGGGCGCGUAGGCGGCCCGUCAAGUCAUGCGUGAAAUCUCCGGGCUUAACCCGGAAACUGCCGUUGAUACUCUCUGUCUUGAAUAUGGUGGAGGUGAGCGGAAUAUGUCAUGUAGCGGCGAAAUGCUUAGAUAUGACAUAGAACACCAAUUGCGAAGGCAGCUCGCUACACCUAUAUUGACUCUGAGGCACGAAAGCGUGGGGAUCAAACAGGAUUAGAAACCCUGGUAGUCC